This 1377-nucleotide long non-coding RNA is filed under the name Oryzias javanicus (javanese ricefish). RNAcentral describes it as "lncRNA (ENSOJAG00000020036.1)". Lineage: Eukaryota; Metazoa; Chordata; Actinopteri; Beloniformes; Adrianichthyidae. The record is from RNAcentral.
AGGGUCAUGUUUGAUAUUUUACAACUGGUUUCUCAAAACAACUAUUCAUUAGGUCUAAUGAGAAAACAACACUAGAAAAUCUUGGUUUUGUUUGUAUAUCUUUUUUUGUGUGUGUGAAUUAACUUCUUAAUUAACAGUUUAAUUUGAAAGUUCGUUUUAGACCAACAACAUUAACAGAAUUCCUGCCUGAGUUUGACCAGCACUAACUCUGCUGCUCAGGUUCAUCAGUGUUGAUCCUGAUCCGGUUCUGGUUCACAUCUACAACAAACUACUGUGUCUUUCUACUGAUCUCCAAUUACAGACAAGUUUAUUCUGAUAUCUUAAAACUGUUUUUGUUUUGUCAGGAUGGCAACUUUUUAAAAUGUUAUUUGGAGAACAUGAGCUGAAAAAGCACCAUUAGAUAUGACCCUUCUGGUCUUCCGUAGAAUCUGUGCUGUUGCCAGUCAGCAGAGGUUUGCAUGGUUUCCGGGUCAGAUCCCCCUCAUGCUGUGGUUAGUUCUUUCGAAGGAUUCAGAACCCCCCCUCACCUCAGUGCUGGAGUUUUAGUUUGAAAAUGACUCAGAAGUUUUUCUGACAGAGCGGCGUGAGUGACAUGUCUGCAGAGCACGUGCUCGUCAUAUGUUUUACCUUCAGCUGUCUUUGUCCUUGUUGAAGACCGUCACAGUGUUUCCAUCACACCAGCUGCUGCUGUGACUCAUUUUCUGCUCUGCUUUGCUGCCCUUCAGUUGCCGUGGUGACCGUCAACAGCAGCGGCACUUGACCUGAACUCUCAGCCGUGGUUCAGAGUCACAUGAUGUCAGAGGAGAACCCGCUGUUUCCUGCUGAUCUGGAGGCGCAGUUGAGUCUUUCACCUUCGAGCGUUAACGUGGAGCAGGAUGCGGACCUGGACUCCAGCUCCCACCACAACGCUGAGCCGACCCACAUUACCAACACCCCUGAUGUGCAGCAUCUGCAGCCCCAGCAGCUGCUGCCCCUCAGUCCCACCCGUCACCAUGGUGAGCUGCCAUCCUCUGCAUCAGGACCAUUGACUGUACAUGAGAACUGGUAUGUGUGACUCCUCCCCCAUCGCGUUCUAAGAAUUCAAAAUCCCAUAGAGUUCUAUAGAGAAAUAACCAGCUGUUACAGUUGUUAGAACUGUUCUGGCGCUGAUACAGUCUUAACAUCUUUUUGAUGAUCUUUUAUUGAUAUAUAUUUUCUGUAGUUCAAGUUAUUAAAGUUAUAAAUUGACCAAUCAGAUGCCUCAAUAAAAGUGGGUGGUCUCAUGUUGAAAGCAUGUUGCUAGAUUUUCCCCAGCUCGCUUUCAAGUUGUAGGGGCGUGGCCUUCAAACCAGCUCUCUCUUGAUUGGCGAGAGCUGUUGCCAUAGAAACAUCGACUCA